This 409-nucleotide ribosomal RNA is filed under the name bacterium. RNAcentral's name for it is "partial 16S ribosomal RNA". It matches the Rfam family "Bacterial small subunit ribosomal RNA", at positions 355 to 776 of the family's 1533-position model. The record is from RNAcentral.
UGGGGAAUAUUGCACAAUGGGGGAAACCCUGAUGCAGCAACGCCGCGUGCGGGAUGACGGCCUUCGGGUUGUAAACCGCUUUCAGCCAUGACGAAGCUUUUGUGACGGUAGUGGCAGAAGAAGCACCGGCUAACUACGUGCCAGCAGCCGCGGUGAUACGUAGGGUGCGAGCGUUGUCCGGAAUUAUUGGGCGUAAAGAGCUUGUAGGCGGUUUGUCGCGUCGAAAGUGUAAACUCAGUGCUUAACGCUGAGCCUGCUUUCGAUACGGGCUGACUAGAGGAAGGUAGGGGAGAAUGGAAUUCCCGGUGGAGCGGUGGAAUGCGCAGAUAUCGGGAGGAACAACAGUGGCGAAGGCGGUUCUCUGGACCUUUCCUGACGCUGAGAAGCGAAAGCGUGGGUAGCAAACAGG